Molecule: ribosomal RNA, 416 nt
Filed under: uncultured bacterium
Lineage: Bacteria
Description: bacterial SSU rRNA
Rfam family: Bacterial small subunit ribosomal RNA
Source: RNAcentral
UAUUGGUCAAUGGACGCGAGUCUGAACCAGCCAAGUAGCGUGCAGGAUGACUGCCCUAUGGGUUGUAAACUUCUUUUAUAUGGGAAUAAAGUUUUCCACGUGUGGAAUUUUGUAUGUACCAUAUGAAUAAGGAUCGGCUAACUCCGUGCCAGCAGCCGCGGUAAUACGGAGGAUCCGAGCGUUAUCCGGAUUUAUUGGGUUUAAAGGGAGCGUAGGUGGACAGUUAAGUCAGUUGUGAAAGUUUGCGGCUCAACCGUAAAAUUGCAGUUGAUACUGGCUGUCUUGAGUACAGUAGAGGUGGGCGGAAUUCGUGGUGUAGCGGUGAAAUGCUUAGAUAUCACGAAGAACUCCGAUUGCGGAGGCAGCUCACUGGACUGCAACUGACGCUCAGUCCCGAAAGCGUGGGGAGCAAAUAG